GCAGAUUUUUUUUUCUUCUUCAUUGUCUUCAUUCAUCCUUCUCUAACUUCUCUCUACAUUCUCUCUCAUUUUUUUCCUUUACCUUCUUGGUGGCCAAACACUACACCCUUGCUCCACCCUUACACCACCACCUUAACCCACCAUCUCUACCACCGCCGGCCACCUAAUCUCGCCGGAAAAAGGGUCCGGUCAGCCACUCCUUAAAUCCGUCCGAAAAUAGCACAAUCGAAGCACCAACUCUAGAUUUUUCUUAAUCUUUUGAAGAAUCAAAGCAUGGGGGUUAUUUUCUUGAUGGAUUAGAGGCUUGUAAUUGAUUCAUAGACUUUUGUGUGGCUCGCCUCAACUUGGAAGACUAGAAUUUUUUUUGAAGGAUCAAAUGUGGGCAUCUUGUAGUUGAGGUUUUGCUUAGGGUCAUUCUAGGAUGUAAGUUUACUUUUUUUUUUUUAAUGAAGGAGGUUGAUUGUAAAUAGUUGCUCAUGAAGUUGGAUGUAUUGAUGGAUUCGUGAAUAGUAUGUAUUAUUUUUGGGGAGGAAAUGCUUGAGAACUAUCUUAUAGCAUGAUAAUACUUUUUGUCUUUGAAUAGAUCAUCUCAUACAUGUUGGGCAA
Non-coding RNA from Camellia sinensis, 606 nucleotides. The record is from RefSeq and is a predicted model, not a curated record. NCBI's taxonomy places the organism in Eukaryota, Viridiplantae, Streptophyta, Magnoliopsida, Ericales, Theaceae.